RNAcentral lists this unclassified non-coding RNA (729 nucleotides) under Hevea brasiliensis (rubber tree). Lineage: Eukaryota; Viridiplantae; Streptophyta; Magnoliopsida; Malpighiales; Euphorbiaceae. The record is from RNAcentral.
GGAAAACAACCAUAUCCAUAUGGUAAUUUAAAAAAAUCCGGUUUCAAUAUAGGUCAACCGCGAAAAGGUAAUAGGUAAACCAUCCGAACCCCUUUGACAACUUCCAGUAUAAAGUUUGCAUGGGAUAUGCAACACUACCAUGUUGUUUUGACUUCUAACUAGCUUGCUGAUAUCCUCCUGAAAGCAAGCAAAGUAAUGAUGGUAUUGUUAGGGACGGAUGAAAUGUGGAGGGUACAUUGAGCUACUACUGGUACUUGCUUGAGUAGUAAAACUUGAUGUAGGUAAGAGUAGUUCCGCCUGAGGACAAUAGCUAUUGGAUGGCACGUCCAGCAGCAAGUCCUGAUGGGAGUUCUCAUUUGCAGAACGGAGAGAAUCCAGAACGAGAGAACUAUUCUCAGAAGGCAAGGCAAACGAGCUUCUUGGACUGAAGCAAGAGCCAUCGUUGUCUACUAGUUCCUUCUGCUCAUAGAUGCUUUUCAUCACCACCCUUUUGGGGCUCUUCAUUGUCGUCUUUGCACCUGAACACUUCGGAUAUUGCCCCUCCCGUGGUUUCUUCACAUUAGCUGAAUGACAUGUACCAACAGCAUUUGGCUCUCCGGCAACUUCAGAACCGCUGCUACUAUUCUUACAUUUUGUGUCCUUGAGUAAAUUAUAUUGUUGCACCCACUUUGACUUUGUUAAAUAGCAUAAUAUAAAUCUCUUCAAGUUUCUACAAUCUUCUAAUGUCAC